CCUACGGGGGGCUGCAGUGGGGAAUUUUGGGCAAUGGGCGAAAGCCUGACCCAGCAACGCCGCGUGAAGGAUGAAGUAUUUCGGUAUGUAAACUUCGAAAGAAUAGGAAGAAUAAAUGACGGUACUAUUUAUAAGGUCCGGCUAACUACGUGCCAGCAGCCGCGGUAAUACGUAGGGACCAAGCGUUGUUCGGAUUUACUGGGCGUAAAGGGCGCGUAGGCGGCUCUGUAAGUCACUUGUGAAAUCUCUGAGCUUAACUCAGAACGGCCAAGUGAUACUGCAGAGCUAGAGUGUAGAAGGGGCAAUCGGAAUUCUUGGUGUAGCGGUGAAAUGCGUAGAUAUCAAGAGGAACACCUGAGGUGAAGACGGGUUGCUGGUCUAACACUGACGCUGAGGCGCGAAAGCCAGGGGAGCAAACGGGAUUAGAUACCCCAGUAGUC
RNAcentral lists this ribosomal RNA (440 nucleotides) under uncultured Acidobacteriota bacterium. RNAcentral describes it as "bacterial SSU rRNA". It matches the Rfam family "Bacterial small subunit ribosomal RNA", at positions 338 to 795 of the family's 1533-position model. RNAcentral also lists the same sequence under 1 other name. The record is from RNAcentral. Lineage: Bacteria; Pseudomonadati; Acidobacteriota.